RNAcentral lists this long non-coding RNA (329 nucleotides) under Androctonus crassicauda. The record is from RNAcentral. Lineage: Eukaryota; Metazoa; Arthropoda; Arachnida; Scorpiones; Buthidae.
GUGAGAUCAUUGACAAGGAGGUUAAGGGAACAUAAAAAGGAUAUUGAAAGUGCUAAUUCCUCAACAGCAUUAGCACAAAGAAUGCUUGUUUCUGAUUUGACUGUAAAAUGGGAUGAUGCUAGGCUUUUAUUAAAGGAAGAAGACCCCAAAAAGAGAAGGGUAGCUGAGACGAUCAUGAUUUAUAAUAAGAGGUGGACGGGGAGAAAACCUAUUAAUAAAACAGAUCCAACGGCCAUCAGUAAUGCGUGGAAAUCCUGUGACAAGUCAAAAAAUUAUCGUGCUUAAGAUCAUUGCGCUCUUUUAUUUAGGUCAUUUUUUAGAAGUAUGCC